This 817-nucleotide ribosomal RNA is filed under the name uncultured archaeon. RNAcentral describes it as "bacterial SSU rRNA". It matches the Rfam family "Archaeal small subunit ribosomal RNA", at positions 537 to 1353 of the family's 1478-position model. The record is from RNAcentral.
GUUUUCGGUUAAAUCCAUACGCUUAACGUAUGGGCUGCCGGAAAUACUACAAAGCUAGGGAGUGGGAGAGGUAGACGGUACUCGGUAGGAAGGGGUAAAAUCCUUUGAUCUAUUGAUGACCACCUGUGGCGAAGGCGGUCUACCAGAACACGUCCGACGGUGAGGGAUGAAAGCUGGGGGAGCAAACCGGAUUAGAUACCCGGGUAGUCCCAGCUGUAAACGAUGCAGACUCGGUGAUGCCCUGGCUUGUGGCCAGUGCAGUGCCGCAGGGAAGCCGUUAAGUUUGCCGCCUGGGAAGUACGUACGCAAGUAUGAAACUUAAAGGAAUUGGCGGGGGAGCACCACAAGGGGUGAAGCCUGCGGUUCAAUUGGAGUCAACGCCAGAAAUCUUACCCGAGGAGACAGCAGAAUGAAGGUCAAGCUGGAGACUUUACCAGACAAGCUGAGAAGUGGUGCAUGGCCGUCGCCAGCUCGUGCCGUGAGAUGUCCUGUUAAGUCAGGUAACGAGCGAGAUCCCUGCCUCUAGUUGCCACCAUUACUCUCAGGAGUAGUGGGGCGAAUUAGCGGGACCGCCACAGUUAAUGUGGAGGAAGGAAGGGGCCACGGCAGGUCAGUAUGCCCUGAAACCUUGGGGCCACACGCGGGCUGCAAUGAUAGUGACAAUGAGUUCCUAAACCGAAAGGUGGAGGCAAUCUUCAAACGCUAUCACAGUUAUGAUUGAGGGCUGCAACUCGCCCUCAUGAAUAUGGAAUCCCUAGUAACUGCGUGUCAUUACCGCGCGGUGAAUACGUCCCUGCUCCUUGCACACACCGCCCGU